RNAcentral lists this ribosomal RNA (504 nucleotides) under uncultured fungus. RNAcentral's name for it is "SSU rRNA". It matches the Rfam family "Eukaryotic small subunit ribosomal RNA", at positions 248 to 755 of the family's 1831-position model. The record is from RNAcentral. Lineage: Eukaryota; Fungi.
GAUUCAUAAUAACUUCUCGAAUCGCAUGGCCUUGUGCUGGCGAUGCUUCAUUCAAAUAUCUGCCCUAUCAACUUUCGAUGGUAGAAUAGAGGCCUACCAUGGUUUCAACGGGUAACGGGGAAUAAGGGUUCGAUUCCGGAGAGGGAGCCUGAGAAACGGCUACCACAUCCAAGGAAGGCAGCAGGCGCGCAAAUUACCCAAUCCCGACACGGGGAGGUAGUGACAAUAAAUAACAAUAUAGGGCUCUUUUGGGUCUUAUAAUUGGAAUGAGUACAAUUUAAAUCCCUUAACGAGGAACAAUUGGAGGGCAAGUCUGGUGCCAGCAGCCGCGGUAAUUCCAGCUCCAAUAGCGUAUAUUAAAGUUGUUGCAGUUAAAAAGCUCGUAGUUGAACUUCAGCCUUGGCUGGGCGGUCUGCCUCACGGUAUGUACUGUCUGGCUGGGGCUUACCUCUUGGUGAGCCUGCAUGUCGUUUAUUCGGUGUGCAGGGGAACCAGGACUUUUAC